RNAcentral lists this transfer RNA (73 nucleotides) under Bos taurus (domestic cattle). It matches the Rfam family "tRNA". From Rfam's summary of the family: Transfer RNA (tRNA) molecules are approximately 80 nucleotides in length. Their secondary structure includes four short double-helical elements and three loops (D, anti-codon, and T loops). The record is from Rfam by way of RNAcentral. RNAcentral also lists the same sequence under 5 other names. Lineage: Eukaryota; Metazoa; Chordata; Mammalia; Artiodactyla; Bovidae.
UCCCUGGUGGUCCAGUGGUUAAGACUCCAGGCUUUCACUGCUGAGGGCAUGGGUUCAAUCCCUGUUCUGGGAA